RNAcentral lists this ribosomal RNA (238 nucleotides) under uncultured bacterium. RNAcentral's name for it is "partial 16S ribosomal RNA". It matches the Rfam family "Bacterial small subunit ribosomal RNA", at positions 356 to 587 of the family's 1533-position model. The record is from RNAcentral.
AGGGAAUCUUCCACAAUGGACGAAAGUCUGAUGGAGCAACGCCGCGUGAGUGAUGAAGGGUUUCGGCUCGUAAAACUCUGUUGUUGGAGAAGAACAGUGUGAGAGUAACUGUUCACAUCUUGACGGUAUCCAACCAGAAAGCCACGGCUAACUACGUGCCAGCAGCCGCGGUAAUACGUAGGUGGCAAGCGUUGUCCGGAUUUAUUGGGCGUAAAGCGAGCGCAGGCGGUUUCUUAGG